AGAGUUUGAUCCUGGCUCAGAUUGAACGCUGGCGGCAUGCUUUACACAUGCAAGUCGAACGGCAGCGGGUCCUUCGGGAUGCCGGCGAGUGGCGAACGGGUGAGUAAUGCAUCGGAACGUACCCAGACGUGGGGGAUAACUACGCGAAAGCGUAGCUAAUACCGCAUACGCCCUGAGGGGGAAAGCGGGGGAUCUUCGGACCUCGCGCGAUUGGAGCGGCCGAUGUCGGAUUAGCUAGUUGGUGGGGUAAAGGCCUACCAAGGCGACGAUCCGUAGCUGGUCUGAGAGGAUGAUCAGCCACACUGGGACUGAGACACGGCCCAGACUCCUACGGGAGGCAGCAGUGGGGAAUUUUGGACAAUGGGCGCAAGCCUGAUCCAGCCAUGCCGCGUGCGGGAAGAAGGCCUUCGGGUUGUAAACCGCUUUCGGACGGGAAGAAAUCGCACGGGCCAAUACCCUG
Molecule: ribosomal RNA, 460 nt
Filed under: uncultured bacterium
Lineage: Bacteria
Description: bacterial SSU rRNA
Rfam family: Bacterial small subunit ribosomal RNA
Source: RNAcentral